UCAGCAUCCUUCUCCCUAUAUACAGUGGGUCCGUCAUGGGCACAUGUCCAAACCAUCUCAAUCUUGCCUAUCUGACUUUGUCUCCAAUCUGUCCCACCUGAGCUGUCCCUCUGAUAUGUUCAUUCCGAAUCCUGCCCAUUCUUGUCACUCUCAAUGAGAAUCGCAACAUCUUCAGCUCUACCUCCUCCAGCUCUGCCUCC
Molecule: long non-coding RNA, 200 nt
Organism: Thalassophryne amazonica
Lineage: Eukaryota; Metazoa; Chordata; Actinopteri; Batrachoidiformes; Batrachoididae
Exons: 3
Source: RefSeq, a predicted model, not a curated record